AUACAGAGGGUGCAAGCGUUAAUCGGAAUUACUGGGCGUAAAGCGCGCGUAGGUGGUUAGUUAAGUUGGAUGUGAAAGCCCUGGGCUAAACCUGGGAAUGGCAUUCAAAACUGGCUGACUAGAGUAUGGUAGAGGGAAGGGGAAUUCCAGGUGUAGCGGUGAAAUGCGUAGAUAUCUGGAGGAACAUCAGUGGCGAAGGCGCCUUCCUGGACUAAUACUGACACUGAGGUGCGAAAGCGUGGGUAGCAAACAGGAUUAGAAACCCUAGUAGUCC
Molecule: ribosomal RNA, 274 nt
Filed under: uncultured bacterium
Lineage: Bacteria
Description: partial 16S ribosomal RNA
Rfam family: Bacterial small subunit ribosomal RNA
Source: RNAcentral